This 226-nucleotide long non-coding RNA is filed under the name Elaeis guineensis (African oil palm). RNAcentral's name for it is "long non-coding RNA (EGUI_LNC075952)". Lineage: Eukaryota; Viridiplantae; Streptophyta; Magnoliopsida; Arecales; Arecaceae. The record is from RNAcentral.
UCCGAUUGAUUCAUCUUCUAGAAUAGUACAUUUGAUCAAGAAGUCAGCUAGCACUUGGGCCUUAAUUGAUUUUUGAGGUCAAAACUGGUUGCCAAAUUUGGAGAGCUCAAUUGCCCACUUCACCAUUCAUCCAGAAGUUUUUGACUGAUGCAAAAUGUUCUUAAUGGGCUAGUCAAUUAGAAGGGCGACGGUAUGAGCUUAGAAAUAAGGUCAAAGCUUUGGAGUG